UACAGAGGGGGCAAGCGUUAUUCGGAAUUAUUGGGCGUAAAGGGCGCGUAGGCGGCUUUGCAAGUGGAAGGUGAAAUCCCUCGGCUUAACCGAGGAACUGCCCUCCAAACUGCUUCGCUUGAGACCGGGAGAGGUGAGUGGAAUUCCCAGUGUAGCGGUGAAAUGCGUAGAUAUUGGGAGGAACACCAGUGGCGAAGGCGGCUCACUGGACCGGUACUGACGCUGAUGCGCGAAAGCGUGGGGAGCAAACGGG
RNAcentral lists this ribosomal RNA (253 nucleotides) under uncultured bacterium. Its description in RNAcentral is "partial 16S ribosomal RNA". It matches the Rfam family "Bacterial small subunit ribosomal RNA", at positions 524 to 776 of the family's 1533-position model. The record is from RNAcentral.